RNAcentral lists this ribosomal RNA (254 nucleotides) under uncultured bacterium. RNAcentral describes it as "partial 16S ribosomal RNA". It matches the Rfam family "Bacterial small subunit ribosomal RNA", at positions 524 to 776 of the family's 1533-position model. The record is from RNAcentral.
UACGGUGGGAGCAAGCGUUGUUCGGAUUUACUGGGCGUAAAGGGCGCGUAGGCGGUCAGCACAAGUCAGUUGUGAAAUCUCCGAGCUUAACUCGGAAAGGUCAACUGAUACUCUGCGACUAGAGUGCGGAAGGGGCAACUGGAAUUCUUGGUGUAGCGGUGAAAUGCGUAGAUAUCAAGAGGAACACCUGCGGCGAAGGCGGGUUGCUGGGCCGACACUGACGCUGAUGCGCGAAAGCCAGGGGAGCGAACGGG